Molecule: ribosomal RNA, 701 nt
Filed under: Bacillus sp. SKS41
Lineage: Bacteria; Bacillati; Bacillota; Bacilli; Caryophanales; Bacillaceae
Description: bacterial SSU rRNA
Rfam family: Bacterial small subunit ribosomal RNA
Source: RNAcentral
GAGGAGAGUGGAAUUCCACGUGUAGCGGCUGAAAUGCUAAGAGAUGUGGAGGAACACCAGUGGCGAAGGCGACUCUCUGGUCUGUAACUGACGCUGAGGAGCGAAAGCGUGGGGAGCGAACAGGAUUAGAUACCCUGGUAGUCCACGCCGUAAACGAUGAGUGCUAAGUGUUAGGGGGUUUCCGCCCCUUAGUGCUGCAGCUAACGCAUUAAGCACUCCGCCUGGGGAGUACGGUCGCAAGACUGAAACUCAAAGGAAUUGACGGGGGCCCGCACAAGCGGUGGAGCAUGUGGUUUAAUUCGAAGCAACGCGAAGAACCUUACCAGGUCUUGACAUCCUCUGACAAUCCUAGAGAUAGGACGUCCCCUUCGGGGGCAGAGUGACAGGUGGUGCAUGGUUGUCGUCAGCUCGUGUCGUGAGAUGUUGGGUUAAGUCCCGCAACGAGCGCAACCCUUGAUCUUAGUUGCCAGCAUUCAGUUGGGCACUCUAAGGUGACUGCCGGUGACAAACCGGAGGAAGGUGGGGAUGACGUCAAAUCAUCAUGCCCCUUAUGACCUGGGCUACACACGUGCUACAAUGGACAGAACAAAGGGCAGCGAAACCGCGAGGUUAAGCCAAUCCCACAAAUCUGUUCUCAGUUCGGAUCGCAGUCUGCAACUCGACUGCGUGAAGCUGGAAUCGCUAGUAAUCGCGGAUCACAU